AGAGUUUGAUCAUGGCUCAGGAUGAACGCUAGCGGCAGGCUUAAUACAUGCAAGUCGAGGGGCAGCAUGGUGUAGCAAUACACUGAUGGCGACCGGCAAACGGGUGCGGAACACGUACAGAACCUUCCUUCAAGCGGGGAAUAGCCCAGAGAAAUUUGGAUUAAUACCCCAUAGUAUAUCGAUUAGGCAUCUUUUUGAUAUUAAAGAUUUAUCACUUGAAGAUGGCUGUGCGGCUGAUUAGGUAGUUGGCGGGGUAACGGCCCACCAAGCCUACGAUCAGUAACUGGUGUGAGAGCACGACCAGUCACACGGGCACUGAGACACGGGCCCGACUCCUACGGGAGGCAGCAGUAAGGAAUAUUGGUCAAUGGACGAAAGUCUGAACCAGCCAUGCCGCGUGGAGGAUGAAGGUCCUCUGGAUUGUAAACUCCUUUUAUCUGGGACGAAAAAAGGUCUUUCUAGAUCGUCUGACGGUACCAGAUGAAUAAGCACCGGCUAACUCCGUGCCAGCAGCCGCGGUAAUACGGAGGGUGCAAGCGUUAUCCGGAUUCACUGGGUUUAAAGGGUGCG
This 570-nucleotide ribosomal RNA is filed under the name uncultured bacterium. RNAcentral's name for it is "bacterial SSU rRNA". It matches the Rfam family "Bacterial small subunit ribosomal RNA", at positions 8 to 571 of the family's 1533-position model. The record is from RNAcentral.